UCGCGNCGGUGCGCGCAGAAGGGUNUGGGCUCGAGCCUGCCUGGAGCCGCCGCCGGUGCAGAUCUUGGUGGUAGUAGCAAAUACUCCAGCGAGGCCCUGGAGGACUGACGUGGAGAAGGGUUUCGUGUGAACAGCCGUUGCACACGAGUCAGUCGACCCUAAGCCCUAGGAGAAAUCCGAUGUAAACGGCGUUGGGAAAAAUUCGAUCGAAAGACAGAAGCCCACUGAUCGGGCGAAAGGGAAUCCGGUUCCUAUUCCGGAACCCGGCAGCGGAACCGUUGUUUGUCGGGCCCUCACAAGGGGUUCGUCAGGGCAACCUAAAAGGGCCCGGAGACGCCGUCGGGAGCCCCGGAAAGAGUUUUCUUUUCUGCAUGAGCGUUCGAGUUCCCUGGAAUCCUCUCGCAGGGAGAUAGGGUUUGGAACGCGAAGAGCACCGCAGUUGCGGCGGUGCCCGGGAUUUCCCGACGGACCUUGAAAAUCCGGGAGAUGGGCCACGUGGAGGUGUCGCGCCGGCUCGUACCCAUAUCCGCAGCAGGUCUCCAAAGGUGAAGAGCCUCUANU
Molecule: ribosomal RNA, 561 nt
Filed under: Neurocordulia obsoleta
Lineage: Eukaryota; Metazoa; Arthropoda; Insecta; Odonata; Corduliidae
Description: eukaryotic LSU rRNA
Rfam family: Eukaryotic large subunit ribosomal RNA
Source: RNAcentral